UUUCCCCUGCGCCGCGCGUGAUGGGUAUUGGGUUUGCAACGAACCAACACCUCGAAGAGGGGAGUUCUCGCUUAAUGUGGUGUGCGCGCCCUUCGGGGAUCGCCUGAAGCAUUAAUGGAACGCCCACCUGCUAUGAGUUUCGAACCUCAUCCGGUUCGAAUCGCCCAACGUUACACACGGCGGCGCGGGGGAAUU
RNAcentral lists this non-coding RNA (195 nucleotides) under Pseudomonadota bacterium. RNAcentral describes it as "Proteobacteria bacterium 6S RNA". It matches the Rfam family "6S / SsrS RNA". Rfam says of the family: E. coli 6S RNA was the first non coding RNA to be sequenced, but its function was unknown until recently. It consists of 184 nucleotides that fold into an extended hairpin structure with a large single-stranded internal bulge. The record is from RNAcentral. Lineage: Bacteria; Pseudomonadati; Pseudomonadota.